GGAGGCUUCGCCUAGUCCGGUCUAUGGCGCCGCACUGCUAAUGCGGUUGGGAGUAACCCUCCCUCGCGGGUUCAAAUCCCGCAGCCUCCG
This 90-nucleotide transfer RNA is filed under the name Prauserella rugosa. RNAcentral describes it as "tRNA-Ser". It matches the Rfam family "tRNA". Rfam says of the family: Transfer RNA (tRNA) molecules are approximately 80 nucleotides in length. Their secondary structure includes four short double-helical elements and three loops (D, anti-codon, and T loops). Lineage: Bacteria; Bacillati; Actinomycetota; Actinomycetes; Pseudonocardiales; Pseudonocardiaceae. RNAcentral also lists the same sequence under 7 other names. The record is from RNAcentral.